UACCCAGGAUGUCAGGGAUUUUCCACCUA
This 29-nucleotide non-coding RNA is filed under the name Mus musculus (house mouse). Lineage: Eukaryota; Metazoa; Chordata; Mammalia; Rodentia; Muridae. The record is from RNAcentral.